RNAcentral lists this ribosomal RNA (433 nucleotides) under uncultured bacterium. Its description in RNAcentral is "partial 16S ribosomal RNA". It matches the Rfam family "Bacterial small subunit ribosomal RNA", at positions 29 to 507 of the family's 1533-position model. The record is from RNAcentral.
AACGAACGCUGGCGGCAUGCCUAACACAUGCAAGUCGAACGAGACCUUCGGGUCUAGUGGCGCACGGGUGCGUAACGCGUGGGAAUCUACCCUCAGGUUCGGAAUAACUCAGAGAAAUUUGAGCUAAUACCGGAUGAUGACGUAAGUCCAAAGAUUUAUCGCCUGAGGAUGAGCCCGCGUAGGAUUAGGUAGUUGGUGAGGUAAAGGCUCACCAAGCCGACGAUCCUUAGCUGGUCUGAGAGGAUGAUCAGCCACACUGGGACUGAGACACGGCCCAGACUCCUACGGGAGGCAGCAGUGGCGAAUAUUGGACAAUGGGCGAAAGCCUGAUCCAGCAAUGCCGCGUGAGUGAUGAAGGCCUUAGGGUUGUAAAGCUCUUUUACCCGGGAUGAUAAUGACAGUACCGGGAGAAUAAGCUCCGGCUAACUCCGUG